AUGAGCUGGCCUCUUCUUCUGAUAUCCUCUGUGUCCUAUGUGCAUGGCAUCAGUCUGACCUCGUCUCCUGCUGAGGUUAAACCUCCCGGAGCCUCAGUGAAGUUGUCCUGUCAGAUUUCUGGCUAUGCCCUCACUAGCUACGGCACAGGCUGGAUCAGGCAGCCUCCAGGAAAAGGCUUGGAGUGGAUCGGGAUCAUAUGGAGUGGUGGAAGCAUAGACUCUGGAGCUUCCUUUAAAACUCGCUUCAGCAUCUCCAGAGACACGAGCAACAAUGUGCUCUUAGAUAUCAGCAGCCUGGUGCCAGAAGACACGGCUGUUUAUUAUUGUGCAAGACACACACACAGCUGUACACCUCAGUGA
This is a non-coding RNA of Pangasianodon hypophthalmus (striped catfish), 360 nucleotides long. Lineage: Eukaryota; Metazoa; Chordata; Actinopteri; Siluriformes; Pangasiidae. The record is from the annotation of a RefSeq genome assembly.